GACGAACGCUGGCGGCGUGCUUAACACAUGCAAGUCGAACGGAAAGGCCCUGCUUUUGUGGGGUGCUCGAGUGGCGAACGGGUGAGUAACACGUGAGUAACCUGCCCUUGACUUUGGGAUAACUUCAGGAAACUGGGGCUAAUACCGGAUAGGAGCUCCUGCUGCAUGGUGGGGGUUGGAAAGUUUCGGCGGUCGGGGAUGGACGCGCGGCUUAUCAGCUUGUUGGUGGGGUAGGGGCCUACCAAGGCUUUGACGGGUAGCCGGCCUGGGAGGGGGACCGGCGACAUUGGGACUGAGGUACGGCCCAGACUGCUACGGGGGGCAGCGGUGGGGAGUAUUGCACAGUGGGCGGGAGCCUGAGGCAGCGACGCCGCGUGCGGGAUGACGGCCUUCGGGGUGUAAACCGCUUUCGCCUGUGACGAAGCGUGAGUGACGGUAAUGGGUAAAGAAGCACCGGCUAACUACGUG
Molecule: ribosomal RNA, 468 nt
Filed under: uncultured bacterium
Lineage: Bacteria
Description: partial 16S ribosomal RNA
Rfam family: Bacterial small subunit ribosomal RNA
Source: RNAcentral